AUUGGGUGUAGUGGUCUGCUUGUAGUUCCAGCUACUUGGGAGGCUGAGGGAGGAGGAUCGCUUGAGUCCAGGAAUUUUGGGUUGUAGUGUGCUAUGCCUAUCAGUUGUCUGCACUAAGUUUGUCAUCAAUUUCAUGUCCUCCUGGGAACAGGAGACCGACAGGUUUCCUAAGGAGAGGUGAACCAGCCUAAGUUGGAAACAGAGCAAGUCAAAACUGCCGUACUGGUCAGUAGUGGGAUCUCACCUGUAAAUAGCUACUGCAUUCCAGCCUGGGCAACAUAGUGAGAUCCUGUCUCU
This is an unclassified non-coding RNA of Rhinopithecus bieti (black snub-nosed monkey), 297 nucleotides long. It matches the Rfam family "Metazoan signal recognition particle RNA". From Rfam's summary of the family: The signal recognition particle (SRP) is a universally conserved ribonucleoprotein. It is involved in the co-translational targeting of proteins to membranes. The eukaryotic SRP consists of a 300-nucleotide 7S RNA and six proteins: SRPs 72, 68, 54, 19, 14, and 9. The record is from Ensembl. Lineage: Eukaryota; Metazoa; Chordata; Mammalia; Primates; Cercopithecidae.